CCAGCUCCCUCAGCUGCUGUUCACAGGACUUUGGACCCUUUGGACCCUUCACCAUUUCUGUUGCCCUUUUCUGGACAUCUCCAGCCCCUCAAUGUUUUUGUUGCAGUGACUUGUGGAUAGAUAAAAGGUAGGAGAAUAGAGACAGUGGUGAAGGUAAUCUGGCCCCUAAAGAGUUACAGCUGUGCUAAUUAUCAAGCAUUAAGAACAAGCCUGGUCUUAAUAGGCCACAGCUGGAUCCAGUUAGGAGGGGUAUUAUAAAAGAGCAGGUUGGCUAGUCAAGAGGUGAGAUGGUGUUUAUUGCCUGUGCUGAGAAGAAGGCGGCAGUGCUGUGAGGAGCUGCUCAUGAAAAUCACCUAGAAGCUGUACUGUGUCUAGGCGGGAUACAUCCAUUGUAACUCGGGCGUCUGGAAGUCAGACAUCUAAGUUUGGCUUAGUCAGCCAAAGUCCCUUUCAUAGUCAAAGGACAGAGGCAAGCACCUGCAGAGAGUAUUUUAUCUCAUGGUGGCACUGGGGUCUAGCAGGAGGUCAGAGCAGCUGCUCCCGGGGAGUGACAGUCUCAUCAACCAUUACAAGAUAACCCUGGCGUGACCAGCUCUGCCUUAGAUCUUUCAAACAUCCUAAGUUUUAGUGUGACAACUGCUUGAACAGAAAGGUCCCCCCAAGACUGGUGAUGACAGAAUACUCACACCCAUUUACAGAGCAGAAGGUUUCAGGCUGGUUCCUGUAAAGAAGAUGAAGUAUGCGACAUGCACCAGAUGUAUAUGAGUGACUUCUCUUGCCAAAUUUAUUGUAUCAUAUUUGCCUGGGUCUCUGUAAGUCUUCAAGGGGACUAAAGGAUGCCAAACUUCUUGAGGUCUGAUUAGUUUCAGAAAUGCAGAGCCUUUAUGGGGAUGCUGCUGAUUGACUCUGAGAAGAAAACAAGACUAAAUUGCUCUGUUCGCUGUGUUAAUUAAUUAAGGUUAUCUGGCAAGGUAGGCUGCCUGCCUUUUUAUUUUCAUCCCAGUUUCAGUAAGAAGCCAAGACAAAAAUGAGGCGGAGAAUUAGCCUGAAAAAGCAGUUGUCAUGGUGUAGGCAGGCAUUUCAGCUACACAUAUUUGUGUACCAUAACAGUUCUGAAUUUGCUGAAGUUGAGCAUGGUAUGUUGUAGUGCUUCCACCGAUAUUUGCCGUGUGCCCUAACAGAAAAUGAGAACUACUGUCUUUGGCAAUAUGAAAGAUAAAUGUUUACAACAUUUUUUCCCACCUAUUUUAAUAGAACUAUUCAAAUAUUUAAUAAGUUAUUCUAUUUUCUUUUCUAACAUGUUUUUCUGUUUUGGACUUGUCUGCCAGCCUUUGUGGUUUUGAUUGUCUCUUAACUGCUUGAUAGCAUGAGACACACACCUGAAUUCCACCUCAAGGAAAGCCUUUGCUGUUCUUUUCUUAGCUUUGUGUAUUCUUGUCACCCUUCCCUGGCUCUGGUGGAGCCUAGUGGGAAAAUCAAACUCCGCGUCACGCAACAGUCACCCCAGCCUAGCACAGAGAAAGCCGUCAGUAUCCCAGCAAGAUUAACUACUGAUUGUGUCUGAUCUCAGGCAAGAUCCUGGAGUGAACCACAUGCAGCUACCUGCUCUGCAGGCUGUGGAGUGUGCUCCUGUGCAGUGCUACAGACUAAAAGGGCCACAGAAGUGCCAAGUGGCCAGCCAGGGUGGGGGACUUCCUGAAACAGAGUUGUUCAUGAGCCAGUUAAAUGCAGGAGAUCUCAUCCAACAGACAGGCAUCUCCAUAUCUAAGAAGGGGAAAAGCCCUGUUAUUUUAUUUAAGAGAGUGGUCAGAAUGCCUUCUGGCAAGGAAGAAAUAGUGUGAACUGCAAGAUGACAGAUGAAACUGGUCUGGACCCCUCAAAGAGCUUAAAGUGAAGCCUGAACACAAAAGAUAAUAUGAUUAUCAAAGAGAGGUGAGCUGAUCUUGAAGGAGAGGUGAUCUCAGGGGAACACAAGGAAUACAAGCAGUGGGGACAGCUCUCCAGUGAGGUCCCCCCAGAGAAGCUGCAGUGAGAUGCCUUGGGGGUGUCCCAGAAGAUGCACCUGGCAGUGCCAUGCCUGGAGUCCUGGAUGAACUUGUCAGGUCUGGGGACAGAUGGAUGUCUACGCAAUGCAGCCCCAUAACUUCCUAUUGAAUUUCAUCCAUUCCCUCUUCUAUAUACAUUUGCAACUGUGUUGCCUCUUUUGAAUGCUGUGAAUAAAUGACUGUAUUUGCCUUUUAUUUUAA
Passer domesticus (house sparrow) is the source of this 2246-nucleotide long non-coding RNA. RefSeq lists it as uncharacterized. NCBI's taxonomy places the organism in Eukaryota, Metazoa, Chordata, Aves, Passeriformes, Passeridae. The transcript is spliced from 2 exons. The record is from RefSeq and is a predicted model, not a curated record.